UUGCUGUAGGUGAACCUGCAGCAGGAUCAGUAUUCGGAUAAAACUCAAAAAAUUAACAGUGACUGGCGACUAUGAGAAACCAGCAGUGUCAUCAUUUGGUGAUAUCUAUGGGAUACUAGUUUAUCCUUAGCUGGGAGCCACCCCGUUUUUUUUCCUUUAAAGUACUUAACAAUGAAUCUCUUGGCUCGU
Molecule: unclassified non-coding RNA, 189 nt
Filed under: soil metagenome
Description: partial internal transcribed spacer 1
Source: RNAcentral